GUUCCCUUAUUACCUCUACAACAACAUUUUCUUCCUCUUAAAUCAUCUCCAACGGUCAUAUUAUUAUUACCCACGACGAACACGUUUUCUUCUCUUGAAUCAUCCCCAACGGUCAUAUUAUUACCCACAACGUAAACAUUUUCUUCUCUUUUAUCAUCCCCAACGGUCAUAUUAUUACCCACAACGUAAACAUUUUUUCUUCUCUUGAAUCAUCCCCAACGGUCAUAUUAUUACCCACAACGUAAACAUUUUCUUCUCUUUUAUCAUCCCCAACGGUCAUAUUAUUACCCACAACGUAAACAUUUUCUUCUCUUUUAUCAUCCCCAACGGUCAUAUUAUUACCUCUAUAAAAACACUUUCUUCCUCUUAAAUCAUCCCCAACGGUCAUAUUAUUACCACAAUAAAAACAUUUUCUUCUUCCUCUUAAAUCAUCCCCAACGGUUAUAUUAUUACCACAACAGAAACAUUUUCUUCUUCCUCUUGAAUCAUCCCCAACGGUUAUAUUAUUACCACAACAGAAACAUUUUCUUCUUCCUCUUGAAUCAUUCCCAACGGUCAUAUUUUCUCUUCCUCUUCCCUCUCUGUGCCUCACCAUUUGAAACUCUCUUCUUUGCCUCUCGUUCUCACUCUUUCACUGCAACAAAUCAGAAUAUGUGGACAAGCUAGUUGUUCAAUGCACAUUAGUAGAUAUACAAUAUUGGGGAUUCGCUUGAACAACAUAAAAAAUUUUAGAAUUCGGACAAAUAACUGCUUGGUUAGUGAGGCGAAUUCAUCAAUCUGAAUUGAUUAAUGAACUGGAGUGUCCGAAGCGGGUUUUUUUUGCUGCUUCUGGAAAGGUCCUAUCAAGUAGAAAAAGUCUCGGCAACAAGCAUAAAUUCCAAGAGCUCAAGGCGUCACAUGUGUUGACUUUCAUAAUUGAGGUCUGGUGGAAGAGAAGCAUAAAUCUCAAACUCUGACUUGGCAGCAGCGGUUCAAUAUAAUCGUCGAAACAGUAUAAGGACUUGCAUAUCUUCACGGAGGUUCUCAAAAGCGAAAAAUACUUAGACAAAAAGUAGUGAUGUUCUUCUUCUUGAUAAGAAUUUCAAUCCAAAUUUUUCAGAUUUUGGACUUGUUAGAUGUUUUGGUGCCGAUAGUCAUCUUAGCAUUGGAAUUGCAGGAACAAUGUAACUCAUAAAAUUCAUUUUACAACUUGCAACCAUAUUUUAGUUCUUUCUUAUACAAAAUACUAUCAGUCCUCUAUUUUCCCAUUACAAUCUCAAGACAACAAAUACUCCAAAACUAAAACAGUAAGUCCUCAUAACUUUUUUUUUAUAACCAUUGUCAUGUCCAUCAAAAAAGCACACAGACUUGAACGCUGUUAUAUAUGCACAUAAACAAAAAUGUUCUAAAAUCUCUGUUUUGGAAACGGAAACAUGUUUUGGGCAUAUAACGGAUUGUUUUCACUAUUUGAAUUCAGGUGUGGCAACUUUAUAGGUCAAACAGAUCGGUGGAAGCAGCUGAUCCAAACCUCAGUGACGAUUUUUUGUGCUAGUAUGCAAAGUGAUGGUAUUCUCAAGUAAUUUUUUGAUUUUUCUCCAAUAUUUAAAGAUUAUCGCUAGGCAAUAUUAUAUAUCUGCAGUAGUUUUUUAAAGUAUUCGUUGCUUUAAGGUCGAGAGCACUCAUUUUUGUCAAGAUUUAUUUUUUCUGCAAUAUUUAUUGAUUUGUGUUUGAAGUCGUUGGUGGAGUAAUACAAAUGUGUUAUUUUCCGAUACAACAUUUGACAGGUUGGUGUUGAUUUAUGUGUUUGUCUUGUUAUUCGUUUUUCUCAUGUGUCAUUGAUGAAUGCAGCACACUAUAAAACAUUGAUGACCAAUUUUUGUUCCAUGCAAAUUUUGGCAUAGAAACCCCCCUAAUUGAAUGCUAAAAAUACCAAGUUAUUUUUAUGUUCCAUUAGGUAUGUGGAUUGUAGCGUAGGGGUGCACUUGGUUUCAUUAUUGCUUUAAUGGCUCGCUCUGAGUUUCAAGGAUGAAUCAUUUCCAUUAUACCAGGAACAUGAUUCUUUUUCUUGGGUUGAUAUGUAUAUAUCUGAAGUGGUUGUAAAUAUAUAUGAUGGUGAGGUAGUAACUCAGGGGCAGGGGAGCCUUAAAGAAUGAAUGAAUUAUAAAUUCUUUUUCCCGGGUAUCAUUUUUACUGGAGAAACUUAUAAGAGAAAAAUCAGACGUCUGUUUUAAAGGGAAAAAAUGCAUGUGAAAGUUUGCAUAGCUUAUGCAGAGACUUUUUAAGUUUUUCAUAGGCAUCAGAACAAUCAGAAUUGCAAUUCCUUAAGUUUGAUCUCACGGUAUUCAUGUUGUUGAUGAGGCAGGAAGUCUUGGCAUAUAUACUUAGGAUAUUUGUACGAAGCAGGCAUCUAGAAUUGAGCAGCUAAAUCAGGUAAUGAUUUUUUAACAUUUUAUUUUAUAAUUUUACACCAUAGCUGCAAAAUUUUAAUGAUUUUUCUAAAACAUAACUUUAGUUCUAAGUUCUAAGUUCAAACAAAAUCACAAGUGCAACUUAGCCGCUAUAGUUUCAAAACACUUGGAUUCAAAAGUCGAAAAUUCAGACAUAACUAUAUUAGAGGAUCUACCUACAACUUUCAUGAUCUGGUCCAUUUUACCUAUUUAUUUCCACCUUUA
This is a long non-coding RNA of Mercurialis annua (annual mercury), 2651 nucleotides long. RefSeq lists it as uncharacterized. The record is from RefSeq and is a predicted model, not a curated record. NCBI's taxonomy places the organism in Eukaryota, Viridiplantae, Streptophyta, Magnoliopsida, Malpighiales, Euphorbiaceae. The transcript is spliced from 5 exons.